Molecule: small nucleolar RNA, 72 nt
Organism: Trichechus manatus latirostris (Florida manatee)
Lineage: Eukaryota; Metazoa; Chordata; Mammalia; Sirenia; Trichechidae
Product: small nucleolar RNA SNORD27
Exons: 1
Source: RefSeq, a predicted model, not a curated record
UAUCUGUGAUGAAGAUAAAAUGACAAGCAUAUGCCUGAAUAUAACAAGUGAUGUCAUCUUUCUGCUGAGAAG